This 446-nucleotide ribosomal RNA is filed under the name uncultured bacterium. RNAcentral describes it as "partial 16S ribosomal RNA". It matches the Rfam family "Bacterial small subunit ribosomal RNA", at positions 338 to 795 of the family's 1533-position model. The record is from RNAcentral.
CCUACGGGAGGCAGCAGUCGAGAAUCAUUCACAAUGGGGGAAACCCUGAUGGAGCGACGCCGCGUGGGGGAAGGAAGGUCUGCGGAUUGUAAACCCCUGUCAUGUGGGAGCAAAUUAAAAAGAUAGUACCACAAGAGGAAGAGACGGCUAACUCGGUGCCAGCAGCCGCGGUAAUCCAGAGGUCUCAAGCGUUGUUCGGAAUCACUGGGCGUAAAGCGUGCGUAGGCUGUUUCGUAAGUCGUGUGUGAAAGGCGCGGGCUCAACCCGCGGACGGCACCUGAUACUGCGAGACUAGAGUAAUGGAGGGGGAACCGGAAUUCUCGGUGUCGCCGUGACAUGCGUAGAUCUCGGGAGGAACACUCGUGGCGAAGGCGGGUUCCUGGACCUUACCUGACGCUGAGGCACGAAGGCCUGGGGAGCGAACCGGAUUAGAUACCCCGGUAGUC